GGGCCCGCACAAGCGGUGGAGUAUGUGGUUUAAUUCGAUGCAACGCGAAGAACCUUACCAGGGUUUGACAUCCUGCGAAUCUCUUAGAAAUAGGAGAGUGCCUUCGGGAACGCAGUGACAGGUGCUGCAUGGCUGUCGUCAGCUCGUGUUGUGAAAUGUUGGGUUAAGUCCCGUAACGAGCGCAACCCUUGUCCUUAUUUGCCAGCGCGUAAUGGCGGGAACUCUAAGGAGACUGCCGGUGACAAACCGGAGGAAGGUGGGGACGACGUCAAGUCAUCAUGGCCCUUACGAGUAGGGCUACACACGUGCUACAAUGGUCGGUACAAAGGGUUGCGAGCUCGCGAGAGUCAGCCAAUCCCGAAAAGCCGAUCUCAGUCCGGAUCGGAGUCUGCAACUCGACUCCGUGAAGUCGGAAUCGCUAGUAAUCG
This 428-nucleotide ribosomal RNA is filed under the name uncultured bacterium. Its description in RNAcentral is "bacterial SSU rRNA". It matches the Rfam family "Bacterial small subunit ribosomal RNA", at positions 917 to 1344 of the family's 1533-position model. The record is from RNAcentral.